Long non-coding RNA from Gymnogyps californianus (California condor), 639 nucleotides. RefSeq lists it as uncharacterized. The transcript has 4 exons. Lineage: Eukaryota; Metazoa; Chordata; Aves; Accipitriformes; Cathartidae. The record is from RefSeq and is a predicted model, not a curated record.
GGGGUGAGAGAGGCAGCUCUUUUGGUGUGGUUGAUGGAUGCUUUGUGGUCCUUUCUGUAAAAGUCAGAGCAUCCUGGGUUACCAUGUGGCAGCUUGGUGCAGCGGAGAAAGUCCUGGCUGGAUCUGAGUUGCUGCUUGUGUGAUAAGGAGAAGAGCAUUCUGCUGUGGCUGGGAGCUGCUGGGAAGAUGAAAACAAGGGAAACUUUUACCGAUGACUCGAGGCAUCCAAAAAAAAUUCAUUUGUGUAGCGAUUCGGAGCCGGAGGUUACAUAAAAUAAGCAUCCCACGUGAACCUGCGCUCAGAAGCACGUCGCAGCGUCGAAGCAGGGAUCCUGACCCUAUCCUAGGACGUGCCAUCAUCAAUUUAUAAUUAUCUGUCUCUUAACCAGACUGGAAAAGAGGGAGGUGAUAAAUGCUCGCGCUGGAUUAGAGCGGUGAAGUGUCUUCGGUGAACUGUGGGAUCUUCCUCUAGAUCCACUGGCUUCUGCAGGGAAACUGAAGCUGCACCUGGCAGGAAUGAAGGAAUUAAUCUGGACUGAGUACACGCUAAUCUGGAGAUGGAAACAAUUUGCUAUUCAAGCAGAGGGAGGAGGAAGAAAAGAUGAGAGGGAUCUGGGGCGGAGGGGGAGCGGAUAUUAU